RNAcentral lists this ribosomal RNA (331 nucleotides) under uncultured bacterium. RNAcentral describes it as "bacterial SSU rRNA". It matches the Rfam family "Bacterial small subunit ribosomal RNA", at positions 568 to 898 of the family's 1533-position model. The record is from RNAcentral.
CACGUAGGCGGCGACGUAAGUUGGGUGUGAAAUCCCCCGGCCCAACCGGGGAACUGCGCCCAGUACUGCGUUGCUUGAGGAUCCAAGGGGUGCAUGGAAUUCCCGGUGGAGCGGUGAAAUGCGUUGAUAUCGGGAGGAACUCCGGCGGCGAAAGCGGUGCACUGGUGGAUUACUGACGCUGAGGUGCGAAAGCCAGGGGAGCAAACGGGAUUAGAUACCCCGGUAGUCCUGGCCGUAAACGAUGGGCACUAGGUAGGGGGAAACCAAACGUCUCCCUGCUGGAGUGAAUAUAUUAAGUGCCCCGCCUGGGAAGUACGGUCGCAAGGCUGAA